RNAcentral lists this ribosomal RNA (497 nucleotides) under uncultured bacterium. Its description in RNAcentral is "partial 16S ribosomal RNA". It matches the Rfam family "Bacterial small subunit ribosomal RNA", at positions 28 to 507 of the family's 1533-position model. The record is from RNAcentral.
GAUGAACGCUGGCGGCGUGCCUAAUACAUGCAAGUCGAGCGAACGGACCAGAAGCUUGCUUCUCUGAUGUUAGCGGCGGACGGGUGAGUAACACGUGGAUAACCUACCUAUAAGACUGGGAUAACUUCGGGAAACCGUAGCUAAUACCGGAUAAUAUUUUGAACCGCAUGGUUCAAAAGUGAAAGACGGUCUUGCUGUCACUUAUAGAUGGAUCCGCGCUGCAUUAGCUAGUUGGUAAGGUAACGGCUUACCAAGGCAACGAUGCAUAGCCGACCUGAGAGGGUGAUCGGCCACACUGGAACUGAGACACGGUCCAGACUCCUACGGGAGGCAGCAGUAGGGAAUCUUCCGCAAUGGGCGAAAGCCUGACGGAGCAACGCCGCGUGAGUGAUGAAGGUCUUCGGAUCGUAAAACUCUGUUAUUAGGGAAGAACAUAUGUGUAAGUAACUGUGCACAUCUUGACGGUACCUAAUCAGAAAGCCACGGCUAACUACGUG